UGUUUCUAAGCAUAAGAUAUGAAAUCCAUGUGAAUCAGGGAAAUAAAAUUACUGUUGAGAGCACUACUGAUUAAAAAUACAAAUGUGGUUUGUGUGAAAAUUGCUGGCGUUUAAACUCUAGAGGGAUAUUCAUGUUGUGCAAUGGUGAUAUAUUUUUUUUCCAUACUUGAUGGGAGUUUCUCGGAGUUCUGCUUGAAGCAAUCCAGAUUAGUUGUUGAAGUGCUUCUGAUAAAGAAUCUUUGAUCAUUUGAUUGAUCCCAAUCAUGAGUUCAUUGGCAGAUUCCUCUAAAUCUAUGAAGAGUUGUUGCAAGUAGAUAUACUUGAUUGCCUUUCAGAGUCGGAACAAGCAGAUGGCACUAGGGACAUGAAUUCUAACAAUGCAGGUGUUACAGACUCGCCUUGAUGUAGCAGAGGGAAUUGAUGGGUCCUCGUCCUCAAAGAUUUGAGGGUGGGAAGGGAAAAAAAACAAGGUCUGUGCUGUUUUGGGGCUUAGACUGUGGGAGAUUAGGAGAGUUUCUUAAAGGCAAUUUUACAUACAAUUUGGUCCAACUUUCUAAAUAUUUUCUUGGCAUUUUUGUUGUUUUCCUUUAUAGCAACCACACAAGUACUAAUCAUCUGCUCAAGCCAUUUUGUGUAGUAAUAUCCCUGUGUUACAGUUUCUGUUACCCAGUAAUGGAAAUAAAAUAUCAAAUUAUGCUUGUUUUAAAAAAAAAAAAAUGCCAAGAAAAUAUUUAGAAAGUU
Molecule: unclassified non-coding RNA, 741 nt
Filed under: Hevea brasiliensis (rubber tree)
Lineage: Eukaryota; Viridiplantae; Streptophyta; Magnoliopsida; Malpighiales; Euphorbiaceae
Source: RNAcentral